CCUACGGGUGGCAGCAGUGGGGGAUAUUGCACAAUGGGGGGAACCCUGAUGCAGCGACGCCGCGUGGGUGAAGAAGCGCCUCGGCGCGUAAAGCCCUGUCAGCAGGGAAGAAAAUGACGGUACCUGAAGAAGAAGCCACGGCUAACUACGUGCCAGCAGCCGCGGGAAUACGUAGGGGGCAAGCGUUCGCAGGAUUUACUGGGUGUAAAGGGGGCGGAGACGGCGAGGCAAGACAGGAGUGAAAGCCCGGGGCCCAACCCCGGGACUGCUCUUGGAACUGGGUGGAUGGAGUGCAGGAGGGGCAGGUGGAAUUCCGGGUGUAGCGGUGAAAUGCGUAGAUAUCAGGAGGAACACCGGUGGCGAAGGCGGCCUGCUGGACUGUAACUGACGUUGAGGCGCGAAAGCGUGGGGAGCAAACAGGAUUAGAUACCCCAGUAGUC
RNAcentral lists this ribosomal RNA (440 nucleotides) under uncultured bacterium. RNAcentral describes it as "partial 16S ribosomal RNA". It matches the Rfam family "Bacterial small subunit ribosomal RNA", at positions 338 to 795 of the family's 1533-position model. The record is from RNAcentral.